RNAcentral lists this ribosomal RNA (104 nucleotides) under uncultured bacterium. RNAcentral describes it as "partial 16S ribosomal RNA". It matches the Rfam family "Bacterial small subunit ribosomal RNA", at positions 1377 to 1482 of the family's 1533-position model. The record is from RNAcentral.
CCCGUUGUACACACCGCCCGUCACACCAUGGGAGUGGGCUGCACCAGAAGUAGAUAGUCUAACCGUAAGGGGACGUUACCACGGUGUGGUUCAUGACUGGGGUG